This 142-nucleotide small nucleolar RNA is filed under the name Chinchilla lanigera (long-tailed chinchilla). RNAcentral's name for it is "Small nucleolar RNA SNORA48 (ENSCLAG00000021144.1)". It matches the Rfam family "Small nucleolar RNA SNORA48". Rfam says of the family: The snoRNA ACA 48 has been identified to guide pseudouridylation of the residue U3797 in the 28S rRNA subunit. Lineage: Eukaryota; Metazoa; Chordata; Mammalia; Rodentia; Chinchillidae. The record is from Rfam by way of RNAcentral.
ACCCCCUGGCAAUGGGCAAAGAGACACCUCAUUGGUGGUGGUGUUUUUAUUAGUCAGGGGCAGAGCAAAUGACAGUCCUUUGUUCAUUCUAGCUUGAUGCCUGGGUUGGUAUCCAAAGGUGUUUCAUGCCUAGAACCUAUAG